UACGUAGGGAGCAAGCGUUGUCCGGAAUCAUUGGGCGUAAAGCGCGCGUAGGUGGCCACAUAAGUCCGUUGUGAAAGUCAAAGGCUCAACCUUUGAAAGCCGAUGGAUACUGUGUGGCUAGAGUACGGAAGAGGCGAGUGGAAUUCCUGGUGUAGCGGUGGAAUGCGCAGAUAUCAGGAGGAACACCAAUAGCGAAGGCAGCUCGCUGGGACGUUACUGACACUGAGGCGCGAAAGCCAGGGGAGCAAACGGG
RNAcentral lists this ribosomal RNA (253 nucleotides) under uncultured bacterium. Its description in RNAcentral is "partial 16S ribosomal RNA". It matches the Rfam family "Bacterial small subunit ribosomal RNA", at positions 524 to 776 of the family's 1533-position model. The record is from RNAcentral.